AAAUUGAAGAGUUUGAUCAUGGCUCAGAUUGAACGCUGGCGGCAGGCCUAACACAUGCAAGUCGAGCGGAAACGAGUUAUCUGAGCCUUCGGGGGACGAUAACGGCGUCGAGCGGCGGACGGGUGAGUAAUGCCUAGGAAAUUGCCCUGAUGUGGGGGAUAACCAUUGGAAACGAUGGCUAAUACCGCAUGAUGCCUAUGGGCCAAAGAGGGGGACCUU
RNAcentral lists this ribosomal RNA (219 nucleotides) under Vibrio alginolyticus. RNAcentral's name for it is "partial 16S ribosomal RNA". It matches the Rfam family "Bacterial small subunit ribosomal RNA", at positions 1 to 216 of the family's 1533-position model. The record is from RNAcentral. Lineage: Bacteria; Pseudomonadati; Pseudomonadota; Gammaproteobacteria; Vibrionales; Vibrionaceae.